Long non-coding RNA from Lutra lutra (Eurasian river otter), 477 nucleotides. RefSeq lists it as uncharacterized. The record is from RefSeq and is a predicted model, not a curated record. NCBI's taxonomy places the organism in Eukaryota, Metazoa, Chordata, Mammalia, Carnivora, Mustelidae. The transcript has 4 exons.
AUCCACUGCUCAAAGAGAAAAGCCAGAUGCCAUGUUGUGAGCAGUCAUAUGGAGAGACCCAUGUGAUAUCCUGAAGAGAGUGAGAAGAACAGGCUGCUGCUGAAAAGCCUGUGACCAAGAAGGAAUUUCAGGCUGAAAGACAAUUUCAUGAACAAUAAGAUCAAACCAACCAAUGAACAAAGGGCACAAGACUAAGCCAAGCCACAAAGAACACGGCAAAGAGAUACAUCAACAGAACUAUUACGCAAAAUAAGCAAGGUUCUAGCAAUAAAGCAGAAGAGCCAAUCUGACCCAGAACUAUCGAGCUAAGAAUCCGUGGAUCUGAGCCUGUGCAAAGUGAUGGUGAAAUACUGCUUAGUCUAAUACUCCUCUCACAAUAUACUACAUAAAAAUGGAAAUGCAAGAACUGUGAUGUGUUACCCAAAAGUCCAAGCUGAUAAACCAGUAGAGGCAAAGAGACUCCAAAACUGGAUCUUC